AAAGCGUGCGCAGGCGGUUAUAUAAGUCAGAUGUGAAAUCCCCGGGCUCAACCUGGGAACUGCAUUUGAGACUGUAUGGCUAGAGUGUGUCAGAGGGGGGUAGAAUUCCACGUGUAGCAGUGAAAUGCGUAGAUAUGUGGAGGAAUACCGAUGGCGAAGGCAGCCCCCUGGGAUAACACUGACGCUCAUGCACGAAAGCGUGGGGAGCAAACAGGAUUAGAUACCCUAGU
Molecule: ribosomal RNA, 230 nt
Filed under: uncultured bacterium
Lineage: Bacteria
Description: partial 16S ribosomal RNA
Rfam family: Bacterial small subunit ribosomal RNA
Source: RNAcentral